CCAGACUCCUACGGGAGGCAGCAGUGAGGAAUAUUGGUCAAUGGGCGCGAGCCUGAACCAGCCAAGUAGCGUGAAGGAUGACUGCCCUACGGGUUGUAAACUUCUUUUAUAAAGGAAUAAAGUGAGGCACGUGUGCCUUUUUGUAUGUACUUUAUGAAUAAGGAUCGGCUAACUCCGUGCCAGCAGCCGCGGUAAUACGGAGGAUCCGAGCGUUAUCCGGAUUUAUUGGGUUUAAAGGGAGCGUAGAUGGGUUGUUAAGUCAGUUGUGAAAGUUUGCGGCUCAACCGUAAAAUUGCAAUUGAUACUGGCAGCCUUGAGUACAGUUGAGGUAGGCGGAAUUCGUGGUGUAGCGGUGAAAUGCUUAGAUAUCAUGAAGAACUCCGAUCGCGAAGGCAAGUGUCCGGGGUGCAACUGACGCUGAGGCUCGAAAGUGCGGGUAUCAAACAGGAUUAGAUACCCCCGUA
This 464-nucleotide ribosomal RNA is filed under the name uncultured bacterium. Its description in RNAcentral is "bacterial SSU rRNA". It matches the Rfam family "Bacterial small subunit ribosomal RNA", at positions 331 to 792 of the family's 1533-position model. The record is from RNAcentral.